GACGAACGCUGGCGGCGUGCUUAACACAUGCAAGUGGAGCGACGAACCAGGCUUCGGCCUGGGGCAGAGCCGCGAACGGGUGAGUAACACGUGGGUAACCUGCCUCGAUGACCGGGACAACCCGGGGAAACCCGGGCUAAUACCGGAUGUGCUGCCUUCACAUCAGUGGAGACAGGAAAGGAAGCUUCGGCCUCCGCAUCGAGAUGGGCCCGCGGCCCAUUAGCUUGUGGUGAGGAAUGGCUCACCAAGGCCGCGAUGGGUAGCUGGUCUGAGAGGACGAUCAGCCACACUGGGACUGAGACACGGCCCAGACUCCUACGGAGGCAGCAGUGGGGAAUCUUGCGCAAUGCGCGAAAGCGUGACGCAGCAACGCCGCGUGGGGGAAGAAGG
Molecule: ribosomal RNA, 390 nt
Filed under: uncultured bacterium
Lineage: Bacteria
Description: bacterial SSU rRNA
Rfam family: Bacterial small subunit ribosomal RNA
Source: RNAcentral